RNAcentral lists this long non-coding RNA (1958 nucleotides) under Triticum aestivum (bread wheat). RNAcentral describes it as "long non-coding RNA (TAES_LNC004515)". The record is from RNAcentral. Lineage: Eukaryota; Viridiplantae; Streptophyta; Magnoliopsida; Poales; Poaceae.
UGGUGAUGGUCACACCACAGCCGUAGUGUGGCUGAGCCUCCGCUACAGCUACAACCUCCCUCUGGUGAGCUCCUCCCCGUUCCUUCUUCUCUGGUGUAGCUCCUGCAUGGCCUUGGCCAUGAUUUGGGUUGGAUGUGGGGCUCUACUAGUUGCUGCAACCAAGCAUCAACUCCUACUGGAGCUCUCUGGUGAUAAAUUCAUGCGGUUCUAGGGUCUGUCAGUAGCUGCCCAUGUGUACUUGCUUUAUAUAUGUGCUCCGGUGAUCAUGGUGGUGUUGAUGCUUAUCUUGCGUGUCUCUGGUGGUGGUGGUGUUGACAGCAGUUACACACCUAGCUUGUAACUAAUAUCCUUACUGCUAAUUUACCUCAAGUUUAUCUGAACAUGGUUGAAAUGAGCGCUGCAAAUUUUGAUGUCUAAAAUAAAUUUUUACCUCAAGUCAUUAAGUAAUUAUUUUCAUUACAACACAGUUAGCUGAUAAUAUUGACUUGAAUAUUUUAUGUAUGCUCUGAUGCAUGUACACAUACGGUUGAGCAAAUUCCGAGUUGCAGUGGAACAACCUGGAGUUAGAUAGGUUCAAUUUUCUUUUGUUCUAUUUCUAGUUUAAGCACAUGCAGGUUCUAGUAAGUGUCUAUGCAUGUAGCUCAUGAGUCGGAAUAUCUAAUCUAAUUAGGGACCACAGACCUGCUGUGUCAUGUGCAAACUUGCUUGCAUUCAGUUCAGAAAUUUCUGAAUUCUUUGAUGUUUGCUUUCACUCAAUGAUUGCGGUAGUCAAAUUAGAUGCCUCCUCUGCUGCAAUUCACUCGUCUCCCUGUCAUGGUUUGUCUUGAAUUUUGGUAGUGUGACAAACACAUUAGUAAAUUCUAGUUUUUGGGUGCUAAUUCUAGUUACUCUAUAUGAAGCAAAAGUUAUCUUGCAGCCAUCUAAUAUGCAAUUCUAAUAUAUUUCAUAUCCUGUUUUUUUAGUUGUAUAUGUCAUUCGUGCAUGAAUUCCUUUUCUUAUGUACCAGCUCCCUAAUCAUGUUUUUUGUUUUUUGGGUUGCUAUCUUAGGAGAGAACCUAGUGUCUUAUAUGGGGAAGCAAAGCAGCAGCUCACAACUCCGACCUGCAACUCCCGAUGAAGGCACAACGACGCACCAUGCUGCUCCUUUGGAAGGUCGGCUCCUGGACCGUAAGUUUCUCUUAAUUUGUGCUCUUCUUGAUACCAGCUCUCUGUAUUGUUGCUGCAUUCAUGGGUUGGUACUUAUCAUAUGCUCUUAAUCUGUUGUUAUAUUCUCACCAAAUGCAUGGGUUGGUACUUAUCAUUUGCCCUUUUACAAAUAUAUCGCAGUUUUGCUGUUAUGCGAAUGUUAUAUGCACGGUUUCUUAGUAGAUCUCAACUUCAGCAGCUGUUUUUCAUUGUUAGGAGAAUGUUAUAUGCACGGCUUCACUUGAUUUCCUAUCUUUUUUGAUUUAUAACCUGUAGAUACUGGCCUUCAUUCAUCAAAAGUUGGUGUACAAGAGCUCCAGGAGAAGAAUCCCGAAGAAAACCAGCACCCAACUAUGUGUUUUAGCUCCCUGGAGCUGGCCAUGUUAAUAUUAGGUGUAUUUUAUAGUUGAAUACCUGAUUUGUACUGCCAUGACUGUAAAGUACUUCGUUUGGCUGUCGUCUGAAAUUGUAUGUGUUAUUGCCUCUGUUUGAAUUAAGUUAUUGGUUAUUGCACAAAUAGUGAACUAACGUGGGGCGCCUAAACAACACCCUUGGUGUCCAAUUUCACUAGUGAGUCCUUUAAAAUGGGAAACAAACAAAAGAAAAACCGACAAGUGGGACCUAAUUGGAUGAUCUGCUAGUGGGACCUGGUUUAAAAUGGAAUGUAAAAAGGCCAAGGCCCAAACAAGAAAUGGAAGCGAAAAGGCCAAAGGCCUAGAAAAUAAAAGGCCGAAUUGCUGGGCUAGGCCAAUGUAGCUGACCAAAAUUAAAAG